UGGGUUGUGGCUCAGUGGUAGAGCUCUCACCUAGCAUGUGCAGGGCACUGGGUUCGAUCCUCAGCACCACAU
RNAcentral lists this transfer RNA (72 nucleotides) under Marmota marmota marmota (Alpine marmot). It matches the Rfam family "tRNA". From Rfam's summary of the family: Transfer RNA (tRNA) molecules are approximately 80 nucleotides in length. Lineage: Eukaryota; Metazoa; Chordata; Mammalia; Rodentia; Sciuridae. The record is from Rfam by way of RNAcentral. RNAcentral also lists the same sequence under 1 other name.